UGCUAUACAUGCAAGUCGAACGAACUCUGGUAUUGAUUGGUGCUUGCAUCAUGAUUUACAUUUGAGUGAGUGGCGAACUGGUGAGUAACACGUGGGAAACCUGCCCAGAAGCGGGGGAUAACACCUGGAAACAGAUGCUAAUACCGCAUAACAACUUGGACCGCAUGGUCCGAGCUUGAAAGAUGGCUUCGGCUAUCACUUUUGGAUGGUCCCGCGGCGUAUUAGCUAGAUGGUGGGGUAACGGCUCACCAUGGCAAUGAUACGUAGCCGACCUGAGAGGGUAAUCGGCCACAUUGGGACUGAGACACGGCCCAAACUCCUACGGGAGGCAGCAGUAGGGAAUCUUCCACAAUGGACGAAAGUCUGAUGGAGCAACGCCGCGUGAGUGAAGAAGGGUUUCGGCUCGUAAAACUCUGUUGUUAAAGAAGAACAUAUCUGAGAGUAACUGUUCAGGUAUUGACGGUAUUUAACCAGAAAGCCACGGCUAACUACGUGCCAGCAGCCGCGGUAAUACGUAGGUGGCAAGCGUUGUCCGGAUUUAUUGGGCGUAAAGCGAGCGCAGGCGGUUUUUUAAGUCUGAUGUGAAAGCCUUCGGCUCAACCGAAGAAGUGCAUCGGAAACUGGGAAACUUGAGUGCAGAAGAGGACAGUGGAACUCCAUGUGUAGCGGUGAAAUGCGUAGAUAUAUGGAAGAACACCAGUGGCGAAGGCGGCUGUCUGGUCUGUAACUGACGCUGAGGCUCGAAAGUAUGGGUAGCAAACAGGAUUAGAUACCCUGGUAGUCCAUACCGUAAACGAUGAAUGCUAAGUGUUGGAGGGUUUCCGCCCUUCAGUGCUGCAGCUAACGCAUUAAGCAUUCCGCCUGGGGAGUACGGCCGCAAGGCUGAAACUCAAAGGAAUUGACGGGGGCCCGCACAAGCGGUGGAGCAUGUGGUUUAAUUCGAAGCUACGCGAAGAACCUUACCAGGUCUUGACAUACUAUGCAAAUCUAAGAGAUUAGACGUUCCCUUCGGGGACAUGGAUACAGGUGGUGCAUGGUUGUCGUCAGCUCGUGUCGUGAGAUGUUGGGUUAAGUCCCGCAACGAGCGCAACCCUUAUUAUCAGUUGCCAGCAUUAAGUUGGGCACUCUGGUGAGACUGCCGGUGACAAACCGGAGGAAGGUGGGGAUGACGUCAAAUCAUCAUGCCCCUUAUGACCUGGGCUACACACGUGCUACAAUGGAUGGUACAACGAGUUGCGAACUCGCGAGAGUAAGCUAAUCUCUUAAAGCCAUUCUCAGUUCGGAUUGUAGGCUGCAACUCGCCUACAUGAAGUCGGAAUCGCUAGUAAUCGCGGAUCAGCAUGCCGCGGUGAAUACGUUCCCGGGCCUUGUACACACCGCCCGUCACACCAUGAGAGUUUGUAACACCCAAAGUCGGUGGGGUAACCUUUUAGGAACCAGCCGCCUAAGGUGGACCA
Molecule: ribosomal RNA, 1457 nt
Filed under: Lactiplantibacillus plantarum
Lineage: Bacteria; Bacillati; Bacillota; Bacilli; Lactobacillales; Lactobacillaceae
Description: bacterial SSU rRNA
Rfam family: Bacterial small subunit ribosomal RNA
Source: RNAcentral